RNAcentral lists this ribosomal RNA (453 nucleotides) under uncultured Ascomycota. Its description in RNAcentral is "SSU rRNA". It matches the Rfam family "Eukaryotic small subunit ribosomal RNA", at positions 625 to 1082 of the family's 1831-position model. Lineage: Eukaryota; Fungi; Ascomycota. The record is from RNAcentral.
AGCUCGUAGUUGAACCUUGGGCCUGGCUGGCCGGUCCGCCUCACCGCGUGCACUGGUUCGGCCGGGCCUUUCCCUCUGGGGAACCUCAUGCCCUUCACUGGGUGUGAUGGGGAACCAGGACUUUUACUGUGAAAAAAUUAGAGUGUUCAAAGCAGGCCUAUGCUCGAAUACAUUAGCAUGGAAUAAUAGAAUAGGACGUGUGGUUCUAUUUUGUUGGUUUCUAGGACCGCUGUAAUGAUUAAUAGGGAUAGUCGGGGGCGUCCGUAUUCAAUUGUCAGAGGUGAAAUUCUUGGAUUUAUUGAAGACGAACUACUGCGAAAGCAUUCGCCAAGGAUGUUUUCAUUAAUCAGUGAACGAAAGUUAGGGGAUCGAAGACGAUCAGAUACCGUCGUAGUCUUAACCAUAAACUAUGCCGACUAGGGAUCGGACGGUGGUUUUUUUAUGCCCCGUUCG